UGGUGGAGCGAUUUGUCUGGUCAAUUCCGAUAACGAACGAGACUCUAGCCUACUAAAUAGUUCGGGGACCCCCACAAGGGCCGCCUCUAACUUCUUAGAGGGACAGGUGGCGUUUAGCCACACGAGAUUGAGCAAUAACA
Molecule: ribosomal RNA, 140 nt
Filed under: uncultured eukaryote
Lineage: Eukaryota
Description: partial 18S ribosomal RNA
Rfam family: Eukaryotic small subunit ribosomal RNA
Source: RNAcentral